This 157-nucleotide small RNA is filed under the name Dehalococcoidia bacterium. RNAcentral's name for it is "c-di-AMP sequence". It matches the Rfam family "c-di-AMP riboswitch aptamer (ydaO/yuaA leader)". Rfam says of the family: This family represents a conserved RNA structure found upstream of the ydaO and yuaA genes in Bacillus subtilis and related genes in other bacteria. The record is from RNAcentral. Lineage: Bacteria; Bacillati; Chloroflexota; Dehalococcoidia.
CGAAUAGGGUGGCCGAAGUCGCCACAGGCGACACGGGGGAACCAACUGCCUGCCGACCAGCGGGCACCGGGGUGAAUCUCCGACAUUGUCGGAGUAGGCUAACUCCUUCAGGCCGAACCCGUCAGCUAACCUCGUAGGCAUGCGAAGGAGAGGCUAG